This 301-nucleotide ribosomal RNA is filed under the name uncultured bacterium. Its description in RNAcentral is "partial 16S ribosomal RNA". It matches the Rfam family "Bacterial small subunit ribosomal RNA", at positions 509 to 807 of the family's 1533-position model. The record is from RNAcentral.
CAGUCGCCGCGGUAAUACAGAGGGUGCAAGCGUUAAUCGGAAUUACUGGGCGUAAAGCGCGCGUAGGUGGUUUGUUAAGUUGUAUGUGAAAUCCCCGGGCUCAACCUGGGAACUGCAUCCAAAACUGGCAAGCUAGAGUAUGGUAGAGGGUGGUGGAAUUUCCUGUGUAGCGGUGAAAUGCGUAGAUAUAGGAAGGAACACCAGUGGCGAAGGCGACCACCUGGACUGAUACUGACACUGAGGUGCGAAAGCGUGGGGAGCAAACAGGAUUAGAUACCCGCGUAGUCCCUGUCUCUUAUAC